CCGCCGCCACGGCCGCCUCGUCGGCCUCCCCCCCGCCCGGACGGGCCGCCAUCCGCCGCCACACACACCCGUCCGGUACAGGACCUAUUUAUGCUACAGACCCACUCCUAUAUCUGUUCCUGUUAACACUGCAUAAGCUUAUACACUUAUUAGUAAACCACUGAUGGACCACUUUAUCUGAUACUCUUCAGCCAAACACAAAAGGAAUCUAUUAAAAAUCCUCGGAAAGAACUGCAGUUUCAAAGAUGGACAGAGAGAGACUGAAAAGAAGCAUGAAAAAUUCUACAUGGAAAAAAAAAUCAUAUUUUUGGGGAAGUUACACCGAGUAGAACACCUAAAAUAAUGCAUCUAGUUUCCAAAUAAGAUGAUGUUUAAAGCCCUGCUGUGUGCAUGGGGUCAAUGAUUUCUCUACUUCACUGUAAUUUUCUUUCCUAAACUUUCCCUCUGAUUCUUCAUUUUGCACGAACUGUUGAGCAGUUAUCUUUACAACGCUAUGUAAAAAUGUUGGGUCAAAGCCCCUCUAAAAAAGGGGGAUAUUUUUAGUAGAUUAUUGUGUUUAGGGUUUGGGAUUUCUUUCUUCUGGUUUUUUGUUGUUUUUGGUUUUUUUGGGUUUUUUUGAUUAAGUAAAUUAUUUCCUUUUGAGACAUUUUGAUUAAAAAGGCACAUCUUACCAUAAUUAAUAUUCACUGUCAAUAAUAUUUAUUUUUAAAUAAAGAUUGGAAACAAGGUAAGACAUUUGUUUAUAAACUGUAUUGUAUAUUGCUGAAUAACAGUUGAAUAAAAAAGACUUUGAAAUAAC
Molecule: long non-coding RNA, 799 nt
Organism: Ornithorhynchus anatinus (platypus)
Lineage: Eukaryota; Metazoa; Chordata; Mammalia; Monotremata; Ornithorhynchidae
Exons: 2
Source: RefSeq, a predicted model, not a curated record